RNAcentral lists this ribosomal RNA (301 nucleotides) under uncultured bacterium. RNAcentral describes it as "partial 16S ribosomal RNA". It matches the Rfam family "Bacterial small subunit ribosomal RNA", at positions 509 to 809 of the family's 1533-position model. The record is from RNAcentral.
CAGCCCACGGUAAUACGUAGGUGGCAAGCGUUGUCCGGAAUUAUUGGGCGUAAAGGGCUCGCAGGCGGUUUCUUAAGUCUGAUGUGAAAGCCCCCGGCUCAACCGGGGAGGGUCAUUGGAAACUGGGAAACUUGAGUGCAGAAGAGGAGAGUGGAAUUCCACGUGUAGCGGUGAAAUGCGUAGAGAUGUGGAGGAACACCAGUGGCGAAGGCGACUCUCUGGUCUGUAACUGACGCUGAGGAGCGAGAGCGUGGGGAGCGAACAGGAUUAGAUACCCCCGUAGUCCCUGUCUCUUAUACAA